This 497-nucleotide ribosomal RNA is filed under the name uncultured bacterium. RNAcentral's name for it is "partial 16S ribosomal RNA". It matches the Rfam family "Bacterial small subunit ribosomal RNA", at positions 28 to 507 of the family's 1533-position model. The record is from RNAcentral.
GAUGAACGCUGGCGGCGUGCCUAAUACAUGCAAGUCGAGCGAACGGACGAGAAGCUUGCUUCUCUGAUGUUAGCGGCGGACGGGUGAGUAACACGUGGAUAACCUACCUAUAAGACUGGGAUAACUUCGGGAAACCGGAGCUAAUACCGGAUGAUAUUUUGAACCGCAUGGUUCAAAAGUGAAAGACGGUCUUGCUGUCACUUAUAGAUGGAUCCGCGCUGCAAUAGCUAGUUGGUAAGGUAACGGCUUACCAAGGCAACGAUGCAUAGCCGACCUGAGAGGGUGAUCGGCCACACUGGAACUGAGACACGGUCCAGACUCCUACGGGAGGCAGCAGUAGGGAAUCUUCCGCAAUGGGCGAAAGCCUGACGGAGCAACGCCGCGUGAGUGAUGAAGGUCUUCGGAUCGUAAAACUCUGUUAUUAGGGAAGAACAUAUGUGUAAGUAACUGUGCACAUCUUGACGGUACCUAAUCAGAAAGCCACGGCUAACUACGUG